AGCAGCCGCGGUAAUUCCAGCUCCAAUAGCGUAUAUUAAAGUUGUUGCAGUUAAAAAGCUCGUAGUUGAAUUUCGGGACUAAUAUGUCGGUCGUACUUUGUACGUACUAGCAUUAUUGGUUUCUCCCUUCUGACGAACCACGAUGUCAUUAAUUUGGUGUCAUGGGAAAUCAGGACUGUUACUUUGAAAAAUUAGAGUGUUUAAAGCAAGCUCGCGCUUGAAUACAUUAGUAUGGAAUAAUGAAAUAGGACGUUUGAUUCUAUUUUGUUGGUUUCUAGGAUCGACGUAAUGAUUAAUAGGGAUAGUUGGGGGCAUUAGUAUUCAAUUGUCAGAGGUGAAAUUCUUGGAUUUAUUGAAGACUAACUACUGCGAAAGCAUUUGCCAAGGAUGUUUUCAUUAAUCAAGAACGAAAGUUAGGGGAUCGAAGACGAUCAGAUACCGUCGUAGUCUUAACCAUAAACUAUGCCGACUAGGGAUCGGAUGAUGUUAAUUUUUAAUGUACUCAUUCGGCGCCUUACGG
This 520-nucleotide ribosomal RNA is filed under the name uncultured Glomus. RNAcentral's name for it is "SSU rRNA". It matches the Rfam family "Eukaryotic small subunit ribosomal RNA", at positions 569 to 1093 of the family's 1831-position model. Lineage: Eukaryota; Fungi; Glomeromycota; Glomeromycetes; Glomerales; Glomeraceae. The record is from RNAcentral.